GGGGUCGUAGCUCAGCUGGUAGAGCACCACAAUGGCAUUGUGGGGGUCAGGGGUUCGACUCCCCUCGGCUCCACCA
RNAcentral lists this transfer RNA (76 nucleotides) under Verrucomicrobiota bacterium. Its description in RNAcentral is "Verrucomicrobia bacterium tRNA-Ala". It matches the Rfam family "tRNA". Rfam says of the family: Transfer RNA (tRNA) molecules are approximately 80 nucleotides in length. Their secondary structure includes four short double-helical elements and three loops (D, anti-codon, and T loops). Further hydrogen bonds mediate the characteristic L-shaped molecular structure. tRNAs have two regions of fundamental functional importance: the anti-codon, which is responsible for specific mRNA codon recognition, and the 3' end, to which the tRNAs corresponding amino acid is attached (by aminoacyl-tRNA synthetases). tRNAs cope with the degeneracy of the genetic code in two manners: having more than one tRNA (with a specific anti-codon) for a particular amino acid; and 'wobble' base-pairing, i.e. permitting non-standard base-pairing at the 3rd anti-codon position. Lineage: Bacteria; Pseudomonadati; Verrucomicrobiota. The record is from RNAcentral. RNAcentral also lists the same sequence under 1 other name.